UGCCAAACGAAUAAAACUGAAACACAUGGCAUGCUUUCAUUGCCAUUCCUUUCACAAAUUCCGGAAAAGGUAAUCUUGCAGGAGCAUUCGGAGCAUAAACAGGGGAGAAAGAAAAUGGAUGUUUGCACACCUCGCAGUGGCGAGCGCUACUGUGGUUGAGCCACUGGAGGAGGCAGUCCUGGUGGACAAACUUGAUGCUGCCGCUGCAGGCGCA
Molecule: unclassified non-coding RNA, 214 nt
Filed under: Hevea brasiliensis (rubber tree)
Lineage: Eukaryota; Viridiplantae; Streptophyta; Magnoliopsida; Malpighiales; Euphorbiaceae
Source: RNAcentral